CCUACGGGAGGCAGCAGUGAGGAAUAUUGGUCAAUGGACGAGAGUCUGAACCAGCCAAGUAGCGUGAAGGAUGACUGCCCUAUGGGUUGUAAACUUCUUUUAUAUGGGAAUAAAACGUUCCACGUGUGGGAUUUUGUAUGUACCAUAUGAAUAAGGAUCGGCUAACUCCGUGCCAGCAGCCGCCGUAAUACGGAGGAUCCGAGCGUUAUCCGGAUUUAUUGGGUUUAAAGGGAGCGUAGGUGGAUUGUUAAGUCAGUUGUGAAAGUUUGCGGCUCAACCGUAAAAUUGCAGUUGAAACUGGCAGUCUUGAGUACAGUAGAGGUGGGCGGAAUUCGCGGUGUAGCGGUGAAAUGCUUAGAUAUCACGAAGAACUCCGAUUGCGAAGGCAGUUCACUGGACUGCAACUGACACUGAGGCUCGAAAGUGUGGGUAUCAAACAGGAUUAGAUACCCGGGUAGUC
RNAcentral lists this ribosomal RNA (460 nucleotides) under uncultured bacterium. Its description in RNAcentral is "partial 16S ribosomal RNA". It matches the Rfam family "Bacterial small subunit ribosomal RNA", at positions 338 to 795 of the family's 1533-position model. The record is from RNAcentral.